This 1293-nucleotide long non-coding RNA is filed under the name Helianthus annuus (common sunflower). RNAcentral's name for it is "sRNA HanXRQr2_Chr06g0243601". The record is from RNAcentral. Lineage: Eukaryota; Viridiplantae; Streptophyta; Magnoliopsida; Asterales; Asteraceae.
AUGAACCGCUUUAUAGCAUUGCAGGCUACAAAGAGAAACUUACUUCGAGGUGCGGCAGGUGGCAAUCCGUUUGGAAACUCGAUUUGAGUAGCGGCAGAAGCAGAAUCCCUACCAGAACGUAUCGCACGUUGACGUGACGUGAGAGUUGUUUCCCUUUUAGCUACAUUUUGAGAAUCGGGAGAAUCGCUUCGAGGUUUCUUUCCCUUGUUCCCUUCGUUCUCAUUAUCAGAUACCAGAUCUUCCUCCUCGUAAUCUGUGUCAACAGAACCACUAUCUCUCCCUGACGUUAAUGGGCUCGGGUCGUCUUUAAUAACUCUAGAAAGACUCCUGUGUUUCUUACUCGAAUCAUCAUCGUAAUCUCUACUUCUAACGCUUCUCAGUUUUUCAAGAUACCGUAUCUCAUCGUCAUCUUCGUCAACAAAAUCACCAUCUAAAACACGUUUUUUCGGUACCCUUUUGCUCUUUCUCGUGCUGUCGGUUUUUUCGGUACCCGUUGAAGCGUUUUCUCUCCCGAGGGUAAAACCGACCCUAGAGAAAUCCUUCCAAGGAAUCCCUUGUAACCCGAUCUUUUUAUCUAAAGACGGAGAAUCGUCUUCAUCAGAAUUGUCCUGAAAUUAAUCAACUUUGGCCGAGCACGAGUCACAUCCAAAGAUCCUGAAUUCUUCGAAGUUGCGGAAUUAAACUUGGGUUGAAUAGUCCUAGUCACACCACCUAACUUCAGUUUGACUUUUUUUAAUUUAUUUUCAUUUGCAUCUAUCGAGCCACCAUUGCUAUGCGAUUCAUUAUUAUAUCUCUUACUUGAGUAAUCACUUUCUGAUCUUGUAACACAUUGAUUAAGAUUGUAUACUUUUCUCUUAGGAUUAGCAUCAACGGCAUUCUCAUCACUUGAUAUCUUUCCGGCUUCAUCUGACGGUGGUGUUGAUGAUAAGGAUGAUUGAUCAUGGUUUUCGGGUAAUGCCGGAACUUCGGGUUUCGGUCUUCUGCUGGUUUGGGUCCUCUUUCGUUUAAAGGUGUUACCAGUGCCUUCGAGUCGAGGACCUCCAAACUCAUCCAUGUUGGCUCGCUUUUUAGCCAAUAAUUAGAUAGUGGCAGAAAAUCGCAACGUAAACAAACAGUCCUGCAGAAAUAUACUGAACGACGCACAGAGAAAGUGGUGAUCGAAUGAAACAAAGGGAUGGAAUAAUGGAUGGUGGAUUGAAUAAUAUAAAAGGGGAAAAAGAGAGUAAGGUGAAAUUAGGGUUUGAGUAAUUGGGGGUGGGGGUGAAGGUGGGUAUAAUGGGAAAGAGAAGGGGU